Asparagus officinalis (garden asparagus) is the source of this 502-nucleotide long non-coding RNA. RefSeq lists it as uncharacterized. The transcript is spliced from 2 exons. The record is from RefSeq and is a predicted model, not a curated record. Lineage: Eukaryota; Viridiplantae; Streptophyta; Magnoliopsida; Asparagales; Asparagaceae.
UCAAUGACACAGACGUAUAUCGCAGGGGGAAAAAAUAAUAAGAACCAAGAAACUCUAGAAUCUCACUUGUGAUGAAAAAGGAGGUGGCGAGCGUUGAGGAGGAAAUCGUCGCGAACGAGGUCAGAGGAGACGAAGAGUAGUAGAGACAACAGGCUAGCGGAGAGAGCAGCUGUGGACGCCUGCUGCCAGCGGGGUUGAGUGGGCCGUUAUGACAGGGGGGGUUAAAAAGAGGAGGGAAACAAUGAUACAGGGGAAAGUCUAAGCGACUGUUUGACACUCGCCCAAAAAUAACUCUUGAGGAGCAGUUGGGGGUGUCGUCGUCGCUUUAAAGCGGACUGCCCACAGGACUCCUCGCAAUAAAGAGGAUGAAGGAAAGGGGGCGUCCACUGGCGAGCUUGAAGCAAAGAAUAUAAUUUGUUUCUGCGUAAAUUUUACUAAAUACUCAGUAACUUUGGAAGUUCCAAAAAUCUCCGGAAUAUUUUGAUCUUUUUUUUUAUUUUCA